CAGUUGGUAGAGCAGCUGCCUUGUAAGCAGCAGGUCGGGGGUUCAAGUCCCUUAACCA
This 58-nucleotide transfer RNA is filed under the name Salmonella enterica subsp. enterica serovar Enteritidis. RNAcentral describes it as "tRNA-Thr". It matches the Rfam family "tRNA", at positions 13 to 63 of the family's 71-position model. From Rfam's summary of the family: Transfer RNA (tRNA) molecules are approximately 80 nucleotides in length. Lineage: Bacteria; Pseudomonadati; Pseudomonadota; Gammaproteobacteria; Enterobacterales; Enterobacteriaceae. The record is from RNAcentral.